GUGAGGAAUAUUGCGCAAUGGAGGCAACUCUGACGCAGCCAUGCCGCGUGCAGGAAGAAGGCGCUACGCGUUGUAAACUGCUUUUAACCGGGAAGAAACCCCAGGACGUGUCCUGGGUUGACGGUACCGGAGGAAUAAGCACCGGCUAACUUCGUGCCAGCAGCCGCGGUAAUACGAAGGGUGCAAGCGUCAUCCGGAUUCAUUGGGUUUAAAGGGUGCGUAGGCGGAGCGGUAAGUCAGUGGUGAAAUCCUGCAGCUUAACUGUAGACUUGCCAUUGAUACUGGCGCUCUUGAGUGCGCUUGAAGUGGGCGGAAUGUGCCGUGUAGCGGUGAAAUGCUUAGAUAUGGCACAGAACACCAAUUGCGAAGGCAGCUCACUAAGGCGAUACUGACGCUGAGGCACGAAAGCGUGGGGAUCGAACAGGAUUAGAUACCCGGGUAGUCC
Molecule: ribosomal RNA, 445 nt
Filed under: uncultured bacterium
Lineage: Bacteria
Description: partial 16S ribosomal RNA
Rfam family: Bacterial small subunit ribosomal RNA
Source: RNAcentral